RNAcentral lists this ribosomal RNA (405 nucleotides) under uncultured Gemmata sp. Its description in RNAcentral is "bacterial SSU rRNA". It matches the Rfam family "Bacterial small subunit ribosomal RNA", at positions 983 to 1382 of the family's 1533-position model. The record is from RNAcentral. Lineage: Bacteria; Pseudomonadati; Planctomycetota; Planctomycetia; Gemmatales; Gemmataceae.
AAAGAGACAGCAGGUAGAAGCCGGAAACGGUAACGAACGGUAGUCCAACCCGGAAGCUGUCACAGGUGCUGCAUGGCUGUCGUCAGCUCGUGUCGUGAGAUGUCGGGUUAAGUCCCAUAACGAGCGAAACCCUUACCUUUAGUUGCUACCGAAAGGGCACUCUAGAGGGACUGCCGGUGUUAAACCGGAGGAAGGUGGGGAUGACGUCAAGUCCUCAUGGCCUUUAUGUCCAGGGCUGCACACGUGCUACAAUGGCGUGAACAAAGUGACGCGACUUUGCGAAAAGAAGCAAAUCACAUAAAUCACGCCCCAGUUCAGAUCGAAGGCUGCAACUCGCCUUCGUGAAGCCGGAAUCGCUAGUAAUCGCGGGUCAGCAACACCGCGGUGAAUGUGUUCCUGAGCCUU